RNAcentral lists this ribosomal RNA (273 nucleotides) under uncultured bacterium. RNAcentral describes it as "partial 16S ribosomal RNA". It matches the Rfam family "Bacterial small subunit ribosomal RNA", at positions 524 to 796 of the family's 1533-position model. The record is from RNAcentral.
UACGGAGGGUGCGAGCGUUAAUCGGAAUUACUGGGCGUAAAGCGUACGUAGGCGGUUAGAUUAGUCGGAUGUGAAAGCCCCGGGCUUAACCUGGGAAUUGCAUUCGAUACUGUCUGGCUUGAAUGUGGAAGAGGGAAGUGGAAUUCCAGGUGUAGCGGUGAAAUGCGUAGAUAUCUGGAGGAACAUCAGUGGCGAAGGCGACUUCCUGGUCCAACAUUGACGCUGAGGUACGAAAGCGUGGGGAGCAAACAGGAUUAGAUACCCUCGUAGUCC